GACAGAGGGUGCGAACGUUGUUCGGAAUUACUGGGCGUAAAGCGCGUGUAGGCGGCAGCGCAAGUCGGGCGUGAAAUCCCACGGCUCAACCGUGGAAGUGCACUCGAAACUGCGCAGCUAGAGUCCUGGAGAGGAAGGUGGAAUGCUUGGUGUAGAGGUGAAAUUCGUAGAUAUCAAGCGGAACACCGGUGGCGAAGGCGACCUUCUGGACAGUGACUGACGCUGAGACGCGAAAGCGUGGGGGAGCAAACAGGG
RNAcentral lists this ribosomal RNA (255 nucleotides) under uncultured bacterium. RNAcentral's name for it is "partial 16S ribosomal RNA". It matches the Rfam family "Bacterial small subunit ribosomal RNA", at positions 524 to 777 of the family's 1533-position model. The record is from RNAcentral.